CGGGUAGGCAGUGUUUCCCAGCCAAAGAGUCAUUGCAAACAUUGCACCUAUUGGAACAACUGAUGUUGUGUAUAUUUCUACUGUCAUUCCAUCCUCAACUUUCAUAACCUUGAAAACUUUCGUCAGUAUAAAACACAAAACAGAAGAGAAGACCAUGUGCAGUAGAGUCAAUCCAAGAGGAUAAGGAAAGUUUAUUUCCUUAGAAGACAAAACCCACUUGUUAAAGAAGAUCUGGCCACUAGAGAGGGCGAUGUAAAGAAGAAUGUAAGC
RNAcentral lists this unclassified non-coding RNA (270 nucleotides) under Hevea brasiliensis (rubber tree). The record is from RNAcentral. Lineage: Eukaryota; Viridiplantae; Streptophyta; Magnoliopsida; Malpighiales; Euphorbiaceae.